GGGACACGUGGUAUCCUGUCUGAAUAUGGGGGGACCAUCCUCCAAGGCUAAAUACUCCUGACUGACCGAUAGUGAACCAGUACCGUGAGGGAAAGGCGAAAAGAACCCCGGCGAGGGGAGUGAAAAAGAACCUGAAACCGUGUACGUACAAGCAGUGGGAGCACAGAGCAAUCUGUGUGACUGCGUACCUUUUGUAUAAUGGGUCAGCGACUUAUAUUCUGUAGCAAGGUUAACCGAAUAGGGGAGCCGAAGGGAAACCGAGUCUUAACUGGGCGUUAAGUUGCAGGGUAUAGACCCGAAACCCGGUGAUCUAGCCAUGGGCAGGUUGAAGGUUGGGUAACACUAACUGGAGGACCGAACCGACUAAUGUUGAAAAAUUAGCGGAUGACUUGUGGCUGGGGGUGAAAGGCCAAUCAAACCGGGAGAUAGCUGGUUCUCCCCGAAAGCUAUUUAGGUAGCGCCUCGUGAAUUCAUCUCCGGGGGUAGAGCACUGUUUCGGCAAGGGGGUCAUCCCGACUUACCAACCCGAUGCAAACUGCGAAUACCGGAGAAUGUUAUCACGGGAGACACACGGCGGGUGCUAACGUCCGUCGUGAAGAGGGAAACAACCCAGACCGCCAGCUAAGGUCCCAAAGUCAUGGUUAAGUGGGAAACGAUGUGGGAAGGCCCAGACAGCCAGGAUGUUGGCUUAGAAGCAGCCAUCAUUUAAAGAAAGCGUAAUAGCUCACUGGUCGAGUCGGCCUGCGCGGAAGAUGUAACGGGGCUAAACCAUGCACCGAAGCUGCGGCAGCGACGCUUAUGCGUUGUUGGGUAGGGGAGCGUUCUGUAAGCCUGUGAAGGUGUGCUGUGAGGCAUGCUGGAGGUAUCAGAAGUGCGAAUGCUGACAUAAGUAACGAUAAAGCGGGUGAAAAGCCCGCUCGCCGGAAGACCAAGGGUUCCUGUCCAACGUUAAUCGGGGCAGGGUGAGUCGACCCCUAAGGCGAGGCCGAAAGGCGUAGUCGAUGGGAAACAGGUUAAUAUUCCUGUACUUGGUGUUACUGCGAAGGGGGGACGGAG
This 1056-nucleotide ribosomal RNA is filed under the name Escherichia coli. RNAcentral describes it as "partial 23S ribosomal RNA". It matches the Rfam family "Bacterial large subunit ribosomal RNA", at positions 419 to 1477 of the family's 2925-position model. The record is from RNAcentral. Lineage: Bacteria; Pseudomonadati; Pseudomonadota; Gammaproteobacteria; Enterobacterales; Enterobacteriaceae.